RNAcentral lists this long non-coding RNA (6059 nucleotides) under Mytilus galloprovincialis (Mediterranean mussel). The record is from RNAcentral. Lineage: Eukaryota; Metazoa; Mollusca; Bivalvia; Mytilida; Mytilidae.
GGAACUAGCCGCACAUGUAAAGUGUGAACAUGAAGUGAAAAUCAAAGCCGACAGUAAGCAUAUUAUUUUAUUUGAGUCCCGGAUUGAUAAUGGUAGGUUUUUUUUUACCAUUCUUACUGCCAAGUACAUGAGAAGUUUCUUAGGCAGAGUUUAAAAAAUUUCAAGUUGCAAAUCAGUUAAACUUACAAGUAAAGUUAUAUGUAUUAUAUGUUAUAAUAGAAAUAAAGCAUACAGGAUAUCAAUCCAUGAUAUAAAAUCAGUACUUUCACAGCAAGAAACUAAAAAAGCUGAGGGACAGCCCUACAAUUGCCGUUCUUCAUCUCAAAGUUAUAUUGAGGCCUACAACACGAUGCAACAUAAAAGUUUAUGACGACCCUAGCACCGAUUUGAGCGAAAUGCUUUGCAAACUGAUCAUCCCUAACUUUAAAUUGAAGAAAACAAGCCACAGAGUAGUAUGAAUAAAGUAAAUCUGGCAAAGAUAUCAAACGUGUAUAAUUGUCAUAAUUAAGUCCAGCUUUCACACCGAUCGAAGCGUGCAAAAUCAAUAAAAACACGAAGACAACCACGGGGCACAUCGAGAUACAUGUCAGAUAACUUAGCAGAAAAUAACGUAUUUAAUAAUUCGGGUAGACUUAUUUGCAUUAUUUAUCUUUGGUGGGUGACAUAGAAUAAUGUUAUUUUAUUUCAUAUUACAUAUCACGGCCGUGAGGUGUAAUUUCUAUCUUGCUAAGUAGCAUAUUUUAGAGGACAUUGUACCAUGGAAUGUGAUAUAUCUUUGAUCUUCAAUACAAGGGGUUCCUUUAGAAUGACGAGAUAGAAAAUCUGUAACUCUUGCAUUUAUCUAAAAUAUACUUUUAUAUAUAUCAUUGUUAUAUUUAUGGUGUUUUUAUUUGCAAUGAUCAGCACGACAAAAUCUCUAAUGGAGCAUGAGCUGUUUAUUCUUUGCAUUGGGAGCACCGGAUCCGCUCACCUCCUUGUUGGAGGGGUUUCAGUUGAAAAUUUUCUGUGUAGUUAUCGUUAAACAUAAAAACGAAUGUUACGCCUUCUCGGCAAUCUAAUUAAAAUAUUGAUAUCUGUUACGUUAUACUACAAAUGAGCUCAUAUAAUGGGUCAUUAUAAAAAAAACAUGCAAAACUAUGUGAUUGGGUCUUUUUAAGUCACAGACAUGAAAAUAUAUCAAAAUAACACUUGCAUAUGUUAGAUAUGAAUGUUUAGUGAUACACAAUAUACAGUUUACAGUUGAAAUGUUAAAAAACAUCCUUAUGUUUUCUUAACCCUUGAAAUAGCCAGAUUUAACUGUUAUUUUUACUAUAAAUCCUUUCAGACUUGAAAUAGGAAUAUUAUAUUCAUAUCAUUGUUAUAUGAUUUAUCUCUUUAUUGCAUUUGAUACAUACAAACAUUUUUAAUGAUUUAGGAGAUGUACGUUGGUUUUAAUAAAAAAAUCACCAAAAAAAUGAACAUUUUUAAGUCAAUGUGUAACCUAAGACAAAUUAGAGGAUAAGAGUUAUUCUCGCACGAUUUGGGCAUUUACAAAAGUUUCCCCUUAGCAAGUUACUGUAACAUCAAACAAUUAGUGAAGAUUUAGUGAAAAAUCGUAAAAGUAAGUAAAGGUUAUAUCGUAAUUGGAAAUAGUGUCCAUGGUGUACCCUUUAUAAAAAUCAUUUUUUGAAAACAUUUCCUUAACUUGAAUAAUGAAAUAUAUUGAUUAUAGAAACGUGCAUCAGUAACAACAUAUAGAAUAGGAGAAUUGAGCACUUGUUUCGUAACUGAAUCUUAAAAUACACCUUAUAUCAUUGUGUUACUGUCAAUGGUGAGACCAUUUUAUAAAUAACACCAUUGACAGUUUAGUAACCCACUGAAUUAUAACAGUCAGCAUUGUUUUGUUUUCUUUCAUGUUAACAAGCAAACAUCAUAUUAUUUAUGAAAACAAUACUUAUUAAAAUGUUAAAAUAUCAUGAUUAAUAACACGUUUUCACAAACUGAUGUAUGCUGGUAACACCAAUGACACUAUUUAGUAACACUAUUGACAUUUUUAGUAACGGAUGUUAUGUUAUAUAAUUUGAGAUAUUUUAGCCUAAGAAUUAUUUUUUCAUCUUUCGUCCCGAUGAUUUGGUUUGUUCUCAGUACUUAUAAAGGUAAAUUUGAAUGUGAUGUCAAUGGUGAUUACUUUUGUGUCAUUGGAGUUUGAAGGUCAUUGGUGUUACUAUAUAAAAAUGCGAACAUUUUUUUUUUUUAUCUUAUUCAUAAAUGAAAGUGUUUAGGUCUGUAAAAGGAUUAGGUAUAUUAUAUCAUUUAAUCUUAUACAAUUCACAUAUAUCAGUUUGAGUGUAUUUUUUAGUAUUUCACGCCAUAAUUAGGACAGCCAACUUGUUGCGACAAUGUAUUCUAAAAUUAUGUUUAAAUAGAAUGCACAGCUAUAUGAAUAAUGUCAAUAAGUCGUAAUUUAAACAUAAACAACAAAUUGUAACACCAUUGACACGAGUCUAUCAAAGGAUGACCUAAAAUUGUUAAAAUUGAAGAAACUCUUCAUUUUUCCCAUUGCAUAUUUCUGAAUAUCGUUGCUACCAUACUAUAGAAUAGCGGGACACAUUUAAAUGUUUUGAACAAUGACAUCAUUUUUCAAAAUAUUACCUCAUCGAAAUUUGCACUUUUUUUUAUAAUGACCCAUAUAUGUAGUAUAAAUAGUAUAACGUAAUCAGAUAUCAAUAUUUUAAGCAUAUGAGCUCAUAUGUAGUAUAACGUAAUUAGAUAUCAAUAUUUUAAUAAGCUCAUAUGUAGUAUAACGUAAUCAGAUAUCAAUAUUUUAAUUAGAUUGGCCUUCUCGGGAGACUUGAUUGAAAUUGUAUUUCUCAACACUUUGAGAGACAUGUAUUGUCGAAAUGCGCAUCUGGUGCAGGAAAAUUUGCACCGUUAAUGUAAUUUCACUUAUAUUGAUGCGGGUCAAACCUUGAGAGCUUAUUCUUCACCAAAAAAAGUCUCGAUACCAUCAACUAUUGCAACAUUCUUUAUCAUAAAUCAGUUCACUCGAAAUAAUCUAGUCUUUACCUAUCAUUUCUUAAACCUAUACUUACCCAAUUGCAACGUAAAUUUUCAAUUACAAUUUUAAGUCUAAACAUCUGAUUGCACCUGCGGUAGUUUCUCAUUCAUAUAUAAUCCGGCUGACCAUGUUAUUACUGGUGACCUAAACACUUCUCUGUGAAAUGGGUUAUUCAAAGGCCCAAAAUAUAAUGAGCUUAAAUCCAUCAAUUGGAAUUAAACACGACUUCGAAAUAGUGAUGGAUUCACUCGAGGAUUAUGCCAGGCAAUGGGUCAAACGCGCGAAAGAAAACGUAUAUAGAUACUCUUACGGAAUGGAUUAAUGCUGUGAUGUCGUUAAUACAAAUCAAAAAUUAAAAUCGUAAUGGGUUUCAAAACCAAUGCUACAUCAAUAUUAAAAGACCGAAACGUUGCAAAACAUCUGUCCUUCUUCCAUGAAAAAUAUGUUGUCAUCACCACAGAUAAAGCCAUAAGCAACAUAGUUUUGUGUUAAUCACAUUAUAUAAACUGUUUUAUAAAUGAAUUAGGUAUUGUCAAUUCACUUGGAAACUCAACAUAUACUCCCACGCCACUUACCAGGAGGAAUCCAGUAUAAUCAUAGGUCUGUUCUAUGAUCCUUUUGAAAUUCAACUAACUUAAGGAUAAUAUAUAUAUUACGUUUGGAGGACGUGUUUUAGACAAACAAUCAGUAUUCCCAUGGGAACUUACUGUGCUCGUAUUCUUGUCGGCUUGUUUGUUUAUCAUAUCAGGCUGACCUCAAACAGGAACUUCUUUGUAAGAAACACAAGAAGUUAAAUACUAUCGUCUUGAUCUGCUUUUUAGAUUAACCACUGGACAUUAUACAUUAGUUCGUCAACAAACCAGGAAGGGGUUAUCGACCGUCUCUCACUUUAUAUUUCUUUUCAUAAAAAUAUAAAAGGGGAUUUUUUUUAUUUUGUCCAUAAUAAUGUUUAAUACUUUAUUUGAUUUGCUAUAUUUUCUUUAAGCACUCCAAAGAGACGGGUUUGGUAAUAACAGUUUAUUUCAUUGUCUUGUUGCUGAAGUGAAUAAAGGUAUUUUUUAAUUUAAAAUAUUCAAAAAUUCAAACUUCUAACAAUUGCGUUGAAAGUGCAUGCGGAAAGAAAACUAUUUCAAGUAAGGAUUAAAUAGCGUCACAUAGAAAUAAGAAGAUUUGGUAUAAUUGCCAAUGAGACAACCCUCCACAUGGACCAAAUGACAUAAACGUUAACAACUAUGUGUCACAUAUGUGUAACGACCUUAAACAAUGAACAAAGCCCACACUGCAUAGUCGCCCCAAAAAAAAAAAGCCCCGAAAUGAUUCCGUGUUAAUGUCUAGCUAUUUUUAAGGUCUUUAAACCUUCAACUUCUAAGGAAUGUUAGCGUUUGUAUUAGCAUUUUUAGUAACUAAAGGAAAAUGUUGCACAUGUCAAUUAAAACGAAAAUUGUUAUUUAUUAUAAAUGCAUGCAUACUAUGCAGUUUUUUCUUACUGUUGAAUGCCGUAUCUCUAUUGGUAAUUUCUGUGUCAUUUGGUCUCUUGUGGAGAGUCGUCUCAUUGGCAUUUAUACAACGUCCUCUUAUUCUUGUAUUCGUUAUACAUAUUAAUUAUAAUUUUAUGAUAACAACCAUGCCAUUCAUUAAUUGACUUGAAAUCAAUGUAGUUUUAAGCUGAUAAAACACUUUAUGUAGCUCUGUAAUAAUGGGCCAGAGAUUCAGGACUGACAUUAUUCUUUUUCAACAAAUACGACAUAAAAUAAUGUAACCUAAAGACCCAAUGUUAUAUAAGAUAAACAUACAAUGUCCUGUAUAUAAAUGGUGGAAUAUAAACACUUCAGCUGAUACUGACUAAGUAUUAAUGUCAUUGCAUCUGAGUUAUAUUUUGCCAAGUAAUUAUAGGAUAGAUAAAAAAAAACAUGAUGGUUCUUCCCAGGGGGGGGGGGGGGGGGGCAAUGAGACAGACAGAAACAAAUUAUAACCGGCCAGGGAAAAGCUAUAACAGAUAAUUGUAUAUACAAUAUGUGAAGCUAAAAUUCUUGUAGAAAUAUCUUCUAUGACAGUCUUCUGGAAGCCACAAAAUGUCUUACGUCUAAGUAAUGGAAUUUAGAGAUUAGAAUGCUUAAAGGCAUGUAGUGAUGUAAUUUUUCAUAUCUUUCAGACAUAGUUGGAUAUUUGUUAUAUUAUUACACUUAUUCCCCUUGGGUUGGUAAAACAGUGUUUAUGGAGGACUUCUAUGUGAAACCUGAACAAAGAAGUAAAGGAAUAGGUACUAACUUAUUAAAGACUGCUGUCAAGGUAAUACGCUUUGUCAACUAUAACAAUUUUAAAAUGUCUGCAGCAAGUGUUCUGAGCAUAAUAUUUACUUACAAAAGGUUGAAUUUAAAGAUAAGGCAUGAUUGGGUUUAAAAUGGGCCUUCAGUAAAGAGGUUUUGUCAUAAUGCAAAUUCAAAAUUAAAUGUUGAAUCAUUCUGUGUAUUUGGAAAGCAGUUUCAGCUCGUAAUAACAACCCACAUUAUCACUGGGCAAACAAUAAUUUCCCUAACCCUUGACAAUUCAAAAAAGAUGUCGUAAGGCACAGAUAUUUGAUUCUUAGUAUUAAAGAUUGUAAAUGAGUUUUUUGUAUUUAAGGUAUUUUUGGAAACUCACUGCAGUUGUCUGGAAUGGGCAGUGCCAUGCUGGAAUAAAGUGGCUGUCGAUUAUUACAAACAAAAAGGAGCUAUUAAUUUGACUGAAACUGAACAGCUUCAUAUUUAUAGACUUACAGAAGACGCCAUGGAGAAUUUAUUGACUAAAUAAACAAGAAAAUAGAAUUACUUCAAUGUAGACAACAGGUGUAUUCAAGAAGAUUUCCAAAUGUAAACUGCAGUGUUUAAAAAUCAUGCAGAAAGGAAUUUGUUCCCCAAAUAAAUAAAUGGUCUUUAUUUAUCAUCACGUGGUUUAUAUUUGAAAUUCAUACUAUAUUUACCUACCGAAUAAAUUGGACAUUAUAUUUGUAGGCAAUUGUACAUGAGGAAAACUUGAUAAUAAA